AACGAACGCUGGCGGCAGGCCUAACACAUGCAAGUCGAACGGGUGUAGCAAUACAUCAGUGGCAGACGGGUGAGUAACGCGUGGGAAUCUCCCCAGAGGUACGGAACAACUCAGGGAAACGUUAGAGCUAAUACCGUAUGUGCCCGACGAGGGCGAAAGAAUUCAUCGCCUUUGGUAUGAGCCCGCGUUGGAUUAGCUAGUUGGUGGGGUAACGGCCUACCAAGGCUACGAUCCANAGCUGAUCUGAGAGGAUGAUCAGCCACACUGGGACUGAGACACGGCCCAGACUCCUACGGGAGGCAGCAGUGGGGAAUCUUGGACAAUGGCGCAAGCCUGAUCCAGCCAUGCCGCGUGAGUGAAGAAGGCC
This 367-nucleotide ribosomal RNA is filed under the name uncultured bacterium. Its description in RNAcentral is "bacterial SSU rRNA". It matches the Rfam family "Bacterial small subunit ribosomal RNA", at positions 29 to 416 of the family's 1533-position model. The record is from RNAcentral.